Molecule: long non-coding RNA, 141 nt
Organism: Esox lucius (northern pike)
Lineage: Eukaryota; Metazoa; Chordata; Actinopteri; Esociformes; Esocidae
Exons: 2
Source: RefSeq, a predicted model, not a curated record
CCUGUGGUUGGAUUAAUGUCUGUCACUGGAUCUAUGGGUAACGAGGAACAUUAUCCUGGUACUCUGAUUAUACAAAACCUAAGGAAGAACAGGCAGAGAAGACGUGCGGAAGAGGAGGCAAGGAAUUUCAUUUGAAAAGAA